RNAcentral lists this ribosomal RNA (539 nucleotides) under uncultured Glomeromycotina. RNAcentral describes it as "SSU rRNA". It matches the Rfam family "Eukaryotic small subunit ribosomal RNA", at positions 548 to 1093 of the family's 1831-position model. The record is from RNAcentral. Lineage: Eukaryota; Fungi; Glomeromycota.
UUGGAGGGCAAGUCUGGUGCCAGCAGCCGCGGUAAUUCCAGCUCCAAUAGCGUAUAUUAAAGUUGUUGCAGUUAAAAAGCUCGUAGUUGAAUUUUAGGCCUGACCGGACGGUCCGUCUCUGGCGAGUACUGUUCUGCUGUCGGGUCUAUCCUUCUGGUGAGCCGGUAUGCCCUUUAUUGGGUGUGUCGGGGAACCAGGACCAUUACCUUGAAAAAAUUAGAGUGUUUAAAGCGGGCUUUUGCUUGAAUAGAUUAGCAUGGAAUAAUAGAAUAGGACGUUGGUUCUAUUUUGUUGGUCUAGGACCACCGUAAUGAUUAAUAGGGAUAGUUGGGGGCAUUAGUAUUCAAUUGUCAGAGGUGAAAUUCUUGGAUUUAUUGAAGACUAACUACUGCGAAAGCAUUUGCCAAGGAUGUUUUCAUUAAUCAAGAACGAAAGUUAGGGGAUCGAAGACGAUCAGAUACCGUCGUAGUCUUAACCAUAAACUAUGCCGACUAGGAAUCGGGCGACGUUAUUUUCAUGACUCGCUCGGCGCCUACGGG